RNAcentral lists this transfer RNA (65 nucleotides) under Polididus armatissimus. RNAcentral's name for it is "tRNA-Phe". Lineage: Eukaryota; Metazoa; Arthropoda; Insecta; Hemiptera; Reduviidae. The record is from RNAcentral.
GUUUAAGUAGCUUAAGUAAAAGUUUAACAUUGAAGCUGUUAAGAUAAGGAUUACCUUCUUAAACG